RNAcentral lists this long non-coding RNA (1509 nucleotides) under Marmota monax (woodchuck). The record is from RNAcentral. Lineage: Eukaryota; Metazoa; Chordata; Mammalia; Rodentia; Sciuridae.
AUUUUAUUAAAAAAAAAAAAAAGUGUGGUUAUUUUAAUAUGAGCUUAAAAAUUCAUCAUACAUUUACUUCAUUUUUUUAGCUUGACUUUCUUUCUAGUAAUCUUUAGCUUCACUGUUUUGGGCUACUAUAGAAGGAGAUCCUCCUUUGGGCAAUUUAAAAGCAUAAUUUGUCAAGCAUCUCAUUUUCCUUUAUUGACUAUAUGGCUUAAACAGUAUUAAUGUUGCUUCCUGUUUUGUCAUUUUGAUUUCAAACCCACCUCUAUAAUAGCUACCACUGACGGCAGAUUUUGGUAGACUCUGAAAUUUGUAUUUUACUUGAGGCUCCAUAUGUUUCAUGGCUUGUAAAACAGCACUCUGCAAAUCCUGCAGCAGCAAUGGUCAGUCCAACUGCUACCACUGUACUGGCCAUGUCUCAGUCUCAGCUCCCCUGCUUUUACCAGGAGCACCGUUCAUCCUAGCCCAGAGGCCACAGCCACCACCAUAAGCUUUAACCAGAAAGUGAUAUAUCCGCAGGAGCAAGCACAAGUUCCCAAGUACAGGAACCCUCACUUAGUUGGCUUUCUAUGCAUAUAUAAACAGGCUCUUCAGAUAUAAUACAUGAUUAGAUUAUAUAACAUUGGAUUUUGUAACCUGACCUAUAGUCAAAACACUGAAUUAUUCUACAAUCCAAAAAGAGAGAUUUAUUUUAAAAAGCCUUUGCUCUUGGAUCCACUUUAUAUGGAAUACUCCUGCUAUUCCCAGAUCUUUCUCUCUCUUGCUCAGUUACCUCUGCAAGUUCUUACCAAAUUUCAUCCUAGUUAUCUAUAGCAACAAUUUUGGAAUAACUCGGCUCUGUUAUUACUAUUGGUCAAAAUUAAACCCUUACAUUAUGUAAGUCUCUUCCUUGAACAUUUUAAGACAAAUUGUUUAUGUUGUAGGAUAAUAUUUAAGGUAAUGCAUAUAAAAGGAAAAUCCUACCUAUACAAUGUAGAUAGAAAAAAUGACCAGGCACUAGAACCUGUGAAGUAAGGAAGGACAGGCAACAGUCUCUGGGUCCAAGUGACAUUUAAAUUGAGGAGGUGCAACCUGUAAAUUUCUAAUUUAUCACCACAAAGGGUCAGUUGAGAGUGAUUCCUGCAGUGAUUUCUCAGAAAGUUGAAAUUGGGAUAUAAUUGAUUUCAAAGACAACCAAAAUUACUUCAUCCAUCAACAUUUCUAUUCCUGACAUAUUUUUGUAAUCAUGUCGAAAGAGCAGUUCUCAAAAGGAUACAAAUUGUUAACUUCCACAAGGGAAAAGACCUAAAUAAGCUAAUUCAAUGAUUCCCUUAUAGAAGGAAUACUUCAUAAGCUAAAGAUGUGGUUAAAUAAUUAUUACUAAACUGGAUUCAAAAUCAUUAGCCAGGGGCUGGGGAUAUGGCUCAAGCGGUAGCGUGUUCUCCUGGCAUGCGUGCAACCCGGGUUGGAUCCUCAGCACCACGUACAAACAAAGAUGUUGUGUCCGCCGAAAACUAAAAAAUAAAUAUUAAAAAA